Molecule: long non-coding RNA, 273 nt
Filed under: Lathyrus oleraceus (garden pea)
Lineage: Eukaryota; Viridiplantae; Streptophyta; Magnoliopsida; Fabales; Fabaceae
Description: Pisum sativum (pea) long non-coding RNA (PSAT_LNC011879)
Source: RNAcentral
GAAAAGAUUGAAAAGCUGUCAAAAUUCAAAACCACCAAGCAACUUCUAAACAGCAGGCUUUUCAUAAUGUUCUCUAUCACAUGAAACCCUCUAACCACACUGCAUACAGCACCCUCUCUCUCAAAAAUUCAUCUUUGGCCAUUUCCAAACUCUCAGUCCAAACACAAAAGCAAACUAGCCUGGCCCUGCAUUGACACAACAUCCAUUCCACCAUUUUCCUGUCAUUUUAGAAAACCAACUGCAGCCAACCUAACCAACAUAACACAACCACCU